CGUCCGUCGCUUCGUUUCCCUCGAAAAAGCCUGAAGUGCAUGCUACCAUAGAUUGACAGCGGAUCUGCACGCCUCGCGGACACACGGCGGAGGAUGUUGGAUCGCGACACGGCGAUACAUCUCGUCGCCGGAGGAGUGGCUGGUACGGCAGGAGCAAUAGUUACUUGUCCACUUGAAGUAGUAAAGACCCGAUUGCAGUCGUCGUCUUCCGGUUUUCAUCCGCCUCCAGUAAGCAAGGAAUUUACAUCUGGUCAUCCAACAUGCAAAGGUUCUCCAACGCCCGAACAACGUAGGAGGCUAUGUACCGGAUAUCAUAGGUAUUCCAGUCACUUCGUAUCUCUUUCACAUUUCGGUGUCUCGACCUCACCUCCAGAUUCUUCUCGGCAUGCGCCGGGAAUCUAUCAAUGCUUAAGAUACAUCAUCAAAAAUGAGGGUGCACGAGGACUAUUUAAAGGUCUUGGUCCGAAUCUCAUUGGCGUGGCACCCUCCAGAGCUAUCUAUUUUUGUGCGUACUCCAAGAGCAAGGUCAUGUUUAAUGCGAUUCUACCUCCCGACACUCCAAUCGUCCAUGUUUUCUCCGCGUCCUGCGCUGGUUUCACUGCGUGUACGUUGACAAAUCCGAUUUGGUUUAUAAAAACUAGAUUGCAGCUGGACCACCGAUCGCAAAAAGUCUCAGCGAUAGAAUGCAUGCGGAGGAUAUAUCGACAAUCGGGUAUCCUGGGAUUCUACAAAGGUAUCGUGGCAUCCUAUGUAGGCAUAAGUGAGACUGUGAUACACUUUGUGAUAUACGAAGCUGUGAAGGCGUGGCUAGCUACACAUAGGUCGCGAGCUUCUCAAACAGAUGAUAGGAAGACGUUCCGCGAUUUCAUUGAAUUUAUGGUGGCAGGCUCAUUUUCAAAAACGAUAGCGUCAACUGUUGCCUAUCCUCACGAAGUUGCUAGGACCCGAUUAAGGGAAGAAGGCACCAAAUAUCGCACAUUUUGGCAAACCUUGAACACUGUGUGGGUGGAAGAGGGCACAAAAGGUCUCUAUCGAGGCCUUGGUACUCAACUGAUCCGACAGAUUCCAAACACCGCUAUUAUAAUGGCAACAUAUGAGGCGGUAGUAUACGUUCUGACCCGACACUUCCGGCCAGUUACGGUAACAACAUCCAGUACCGAUGUGACGUCGGAAUUCUACAACGAAGCUAAAGCGAAGAGAGAGCUGGCCUAGGACUUGCUUACGGCUCCUGAGUAAAGAGCCAUCAAUCACUUCUUCUCCAGUAGGUGAAUACUGCACAUACUCGGGGCAGCAUUCUAAGAUCUAAUUGCACGUCUAGACGCAUCGAGAACAGUUGGAUAUGCGUUUGAUGCCCUUAAUCACUGCUCCAGGGGUACUCAAAAAGAUAGCAUGUACAUAUCCAGACACGGGCCCGCUGCAGGGAGAAAAAGAGAGAGGGGUAAGGGAAAGAAAAGAGAAAUUAAGGAAAGCAGAUUUUUUUAGCAUCGAAUAGAUGAUGGCUGAGACUUCGCUUUUUGUUCACGAAAAUAUAAACAUGCGUGAAUACCACGAAAAAUGAGCUUGUGUUACAUAUUAAGGUUUACUGGAGGCAAGAUUAUUCUCUACUCCAGAAAUAAAACUCACUUCGAAUCCAAAGUGUGAGGCUCAUUGUGUAAGAGUCACUAUAAACUUUAGGUCUCUGAUCUAAGGAUUCUGAUUCUGAUAUUUUUUUUCCAUGAUUUGCAGUUUUCCUUGCAUCUCGCUUCUUUUCUCAUUUUUUUUGUUUAUAAGAAAAAAAAUUAAAAUUAAAAACAAAAGAUACAAAAUUAGACUUUGAAAUUAAUAUUUGUAUUGUACAAUGCUCGGUGAGAGAGCAGCAAAUGUAUAGCAAAUAUAUAGCGACUUCUAAGUUUAUAACAGUUUUGAUUUUUCAGUUGCUUGAAGUGAAAUAUUUUUACUAGAAAUUGAUUAAACUUGCUCUAAUUGUAAAUAAAAUAUUGUAAGUUCAUUUUUCUUAAAAAUUCCGGCACUUUUAUCUCAGAGAGCAUAAUGUUCAAAAUCAAGGCAUACAACAUCUUAAAGAUAUCUUAAUCAUAUUUUUAAAGUGUCCGAAAGACGUCUUAUGCCCCGAUUUUGGACAUUGUGUUGUCUGAAAUUCUAGGACUUUAGUAAAAA
RNAcentral lists this unclassified non-coding RNA (2154 nucleotides) under Monomorium pharaonis (pharaoh ant). RNAcentral's name for it is "mitochondrial carrier protein Rim2, transcript variant X2". The record is from RNAcentral. Lineage: Eukaryota; Metazoa; Arthropoda; Insecta; Hymenoptera; Formicidae.